Molecule: non-coding RNA, 2836 nt
Organism: Faecalibacterium prausnitzii SL3/3
Lineage: Bacteria; Bacillati; Bacillota; Clostridia; Eubacteriales; Oscillospiraceae
Source: Rfam
GGUCAAGCGAACAAGGGCGCAGGGCGAAUGCCUUGGCACUGGGAGCCGAUGAAAGACGUGAUAAGCUGCGAUAAGCUUCGGGGAGCUGCAAAUAAGCAUUGAUCCGGAGAUUUCUGAAUGAGGAAACUCACCUGGGUUCAUACUCAGGUACGUUAUACUGAACUUAAAAAUAGGUAUAUCGAGGGAACCGCCUGAACUGAAACAUCUAAGUAGGGCGAGGAAGAGACAUCAAACGAGAUUCCGUAAGUAGUGGCGAGCGAACGCGGAAGAGGGCAAACCGGAAGUAGAAAUACUUCCGGGGUACGGACCGCAUUUAGGACUUGAGUUGUUAACCGAACGGCAUGGGAAGGCCGGUCAGAGAGUGUGAGAACCACGUAGGUGAAAACGACAAGAGCUGAGCGAGUUCCAGAGUACGGCCAGACACGUGAAACCUGGUCGGAAUAUGGGGGGACCACCCUCCAACCCUAAAUACUACCCAGUGACCGAUAGCGUAUAGUACUGUGAAGGAAAGGUGAAAAGCACCCCGGGAGGGGAGUGAAAAAGAACCUGAAACCCUGUGCCUACAAGCACCUAGAGCACGUCAAUGUGUGAUAGGGUACUUUUUGUAGAACGGUCCGGCGAGCGAUUGUAUGCAGCAAGGUUAAGGACUUAAGGUCUGGAGCCGAAGCGAAAGCGAGUUUGAAAAGGGCGUUAAGUUGCAUACAAUGGGCCCGAAACCGGGUGACCUACCCAUGGUCAGGUUGAAGUGGAAGUAAAAUUCCAUGGAGGACCGAACCGACCUCCGUUGAAAAGGCGGCGGAUGAACUGUGGGUAGCGGAGAAAUUCCAAUCGAACCCGGAGAUAGCUGGUUCUCCCCGAAAUAGUUUUAGGACUAGCCUCAAGUUAGAUACCUGGAGGUAAAGCACUGAAUAGCCUAGCGGCCGAGAGGUUAGCGAAGCUUAUCAAACUCAGAAUGCCAGAGUAUUGAUGCUUGGGAGUCAGACAGUGUCAGAUAAAUGUCAUUGUCAAAAGGGAAACAGCCCAGAUCUACAGCUAAGGUCCCAAAGUCAGGUUAAGUGGAAAACGAUGUGAAGAUACGUAGACAACCAGGAUGUUGGCUCAGAAGCAGCCACACAUUCAAAGAGUGCGUAAUAGCUCACUGGUCGAGCGUCUUUGCGCGGAGAAUUUAACGGGGCUAAACCUGACACCGAAGCUUAGGCAAUACAGCAAUGUAUUGGGUAGGGGAGCGUUGUAUACGCGGUGAAACAGUAGCGCAAGCGGCUGUGGAGUGUAUAGAAGUGAGAAUGCCGGAAUGAGUAGCGCGAAUGCAGUGAGAAUCUGCAUGGCCGAAAGCCUCAGGUUUCUGGAGGAAGGUUCGUCCGCUCCAGGUUAGUCGGGAGCUAAGGUGAGGCCUAACGGCGUAGCCGAUGCACAGACGGUAGAGAUUCCGUCACCACCAAAAGAGUUAAACACAGGGACACAUUUGAAGUCUCGGAGCCGGGUGUUGGUUCCGGUAGCGAUCGAGGGAAAUUAGUACCGAAGUCCGGGAUGGAAGAUGGCGAGAAAAGCUGUGUGUAUUUCUGCGGUGCCCGUACCGCAAACCGACACAGGUAGGUAGGAAGAAGAUUCUAAGGCCAACGGGAGAAGGGUUGUUAAGGAACUCGGCAAAUUGACCCCGUAACUUCGGGAGAAGGGGUGCUCCAGAGAUGGAGCCGCAGAGAAUCGGCCCAAGCAACUGUUUACCAAAAACACAGGUUUGUGCUAAAUCGAAAGAUGACGUAUACGAGCUGACGCCUGCCCGGUGCUGGAAGGUUAAGAGGAGAUGUGCAAGCAUUGAAUCGAAGCCCCAGUGAACGGCGGCCGUAACUAUAACGGUCCUAAGGUAGCGAAAUUCCUUGUCAGGUAAGUUCUGACCCGCAUGAAAGGCGUAAUGAUUUGGGCACUGUCUCGACAGCCCGCCCGGCGAAAUUGUAGUACCGGUGAAGAUGCCGGUUACCCGCGACAAGACGGAAAGACCCCAUGGAGCUUUACUGUAGCCUAAUAUUGGGUUUCGAUGUUGCAUGCACAGGAUAGAUGGGACACAGGGAAACAAGUGCUUUGGCAUUUGUGGAGUGGCCGUUGGGAUACCAUCCUUGCGAUAUUGGAAUUCUAACCUGCGCCUUUGAAUCAAGGCGGGGGACAUUGUUAGGUGGGCAGUUUGACUGGGGCGGUCGCCUCCUAAAGAGUAACGGAGGCGUUCAAAGGUUCGCUCAGCUUGAACGGAAAUCAAGCAAAAGAGUGCAAACGCAGAAGCGAGCCUAACUGCGAGACUGACGGGUCGAGCAGUAACGAAAGUUGGAGUUAGUGAUCCGGUGGUAUGUGAGUGGAAAUGCCAUCGCUCAACGGAUAAAAGUUACCCUGGGGAUAACAGGCUGAUCUCCCCCAAGAGUCCACAUCGACGGGGAGGUUUGGCACCUCGAUGUCGGCUCAUCGCAUCCUGGGGCUGUAUUCGGUCCCAAGGGUUUGGCUGUUCGCCAAUUAAAGCGGUACGCGAGCUGGGUUCAGAACGUCGUGAGACAGUUCGGUCCCUAUCUGUCGUGGGCGCAGGAUAUUUGAUGGGAGCUGUUCCUAGUACGAGAGGACCGGAGCGGACGUACCUCUGGCGCACCAGUUGUUCUGCCAAGGGCAUAGCUGGGCAACUAUGUACGGAUCGGAUAAACGCUGAAAGCAUCUAAGCGUGAAGCCGACCCAAAGAUAAGAUAUCCCAUUGUUUCAAACAAGUAAGACCCCUUGAAGACUACAAGGUUGAUAGGCACGAUGUGUAAGUGGAGUUUGCGGAGGGGUUAUCGCCGCCGUAACCCUCCAGCAGGUUGACGGC